RNAcentral lists this ribosomal RNA (253 nucleotides) under uncultured bacterium. RNAcentral describes it as "partial 16S ribosomal RNA". It matches the Rfam family "Bacterial small subunit ribosomal RNA", at positions 524 to 776 of the family's 1533-position model. The record is from RNAcentral.
UACGUAGGUGGCAAGCGUUGUCCGGAAUUAUUGGGUGUAAAGGGCGUGUAGGCGGCGCAAUAAGUCUGGUGUGAAAUCUCACGGCUCAACCGUGAAACCGCAUUGGAAACUGUUGUGCUAGAGUGUCGGAGAGGAAAGCGGAAUUCCAUGUGUAGCGGUGAAAUGCGUAGAUAUAUGGAGGAACACCAGUGGCGAAGGCGGCUUUCUGGACGAAUACUGACGCUGAGGCGCGAAAGCGUGGGGAGCAAACAGG